CAAUAUUUAUUGGGCAAUGUUCGACCUCCGAAGCGUGUCAGGACCGGAAGGUAGCAGCACUAAGGUCGCUUGGGCAUGUGCCCUUUAUUUAGCAAUUAACAA
Molecule: signal recognition particle RNA, 102 nt
Filed under: Lactobacillus delbrueckii subsp. bulgaricus PB2003/044-T3-4
Lineage: Bacteria; Bacillati; Bacillota; Bacilli; Lactobacillales; Lactobacillaceae
Description: Bacterial signal recognition particle RNA
Rfam family: Bacterial small signal recognition particle RNA
About the family: The signal recognition particle (SRP) is a universally conserved ribonucleoprotein involved in the co-translational targeting of proteins to membranes. Archaeal SRP consists of a 7S RNA and homologues of the eukaryotic SRP19 and SRP54 proteins. In most bacteria, the SRP consists of a 4.5S RNA and the Ffh protein (a homologue of the eukaryotic SRP54 protein).
Source: RNAcentral